ACGAACGCUGGCGGCGUGCUUAACACAUGCAAGUCGAACGCUUCAUUCCUUCGGGGAUGAAGAGUGGCGCACGGGUGAGUAAUGAAUAGGAACAUACCAUUUGGUGGGGAAUAACUUCGAGAAAUCGAAGCUAAUACCGCAUAAGAACGAAAGUUGAAAGGGGGCCUCUGUUUACAAGCUCUCGCCGAUUGAUUGGCCUAUUUUCCAUUAGCUAGUUGGUAAGGUAAAGGCUUACCAAGGCGACGAUGGAUAGCUGGUCUGAGAGGAUGAUCAGCCACACUGGAACUGAGACACGGUCCAGACUCCUACGGGAGGCAGCAGUGGGGAAUCUUGCACAAUGGGCGAAAGCCUGAUGCAGCAACGCCGCGUGAGUGAAGAAGGCCCUUGGGUCGUAAAGCUCUUUCGGUUAGGAAGAAGGGUCUACUGAAGAAACGCUGUAGAUUUGACGGUACUAAAAGAAGAAGCACUGGCUAAUUCCGU
Molecule: ribosomal RNA, 480 nt
Filed under: uncultured bacterium
Lineage: Bacteria
Description: bacterial SSU rRNA
Rfam family: Bacterial small subunit ribosomal RNA
Source: RNAcentral